CCCAGACUCCUACGGGAGGCAGCAGUGGGGAAUAUUGCACAAUGGGGGGAACCCUGAUGCAGCGACGCCGCGUGGGUGAAGGAGCACCUCGGUGCGUAAAGCCCUAUCGGCAGGGAAGAAACAGACGGUACCUGACUAAGAAGCCCCGGCUAACUACGUGCCAGCAGCCGCGGUAAUACGUAGGGGGCAAGCGUUAUCCGGAUUCACUGGGUGUAAAGGGAGCGUAGACGGCGACGCAAGUCUGGAGUGAAAGCCCGGGGCCCAACCCCGGGACUGCUCUGGAACCGCAUGGCUGGAGUGCGGGAGGGGCAGGCGGAAUUCCUAGUGUAGCGGUGAAAUGCGUAGAUAUUAGGAGGAACACCAGUGGCGAAGGCGGCCUGCUGGACUGCAACUGACGUUGAGGCUCGAAGGCGUGGGGAGCAAACAGGAUUAGAUACCCUUGUAA
This 445-nucleotide ribosomal RNA is filed under the name uncultured bacterium. RNAcentral describes it as "bacterial SSU rRNA". It matches the Rfam family "Bacterial small subunit ribosomal RNA", at positions 330 to 793 of the family's 1533-position model. The record is from RNAcentral.